RNAcentral lists this transfer RNA (72 nucleotides) under Ictidomys tridecemlineatus (thirteen-lined ground squirrel). Its description in RNAcentral is "Spermophilus tridecemlineatus (thirteen-lined ground squirrel) tRNA". It matches the Rfam family "tRNA". From Rfam's summary of the family: Transfer RNA (tRNA) molecules are approximately 80 nucleotides in length. Their secondary structure includes four short double-helical elements and three loops (D, anti-codon, and T loops). RNAcentral also lists the same sequence under 1 other name. Lineage: Eukaryota; Metazoa; Chordata; Mammalia; Rodentia; Sciuridae. The record is from Rfam by way of RNAcentral.
GAGGGUGUGGCUCAGUGGUAGAGUGCUUACCUAGCAUGCACAAGGCCCUGGAUUUAAUCCCCAGCACCCCCC